Molecule: transfer RNA, 40 nt
Filed under: Ecklonia radicosa
Lineage: Eukaryota; Phaeophyceae; Laminariales; Lessoniaceae
Description: partial tRNA-Ile
Source: RNAcentral
CGGUUUGUAGUUUAAUUGGCAAAACAUAGUUCUCAUGAAG